This 297-nucleotide ribosomal RNA is filed under the name uncultured bacterium. Its description in RNAcentral is "partial 16S ribosomal RNA". It matches the Rfam family "Bacterial small subunit ribosomal RNA", at positions 775 to 1067 of the family's 1533-position model. The record is from RNAcentral.
GGAUUAGAUACCCUGGUAGUCCACGCCCUAAACGAUGAACACUAGUCGUUACGGAGCUAGUCUCUGUAGUGACGCAGCUAACGCAUUAAGUGUUCCGCCUGGGGAGUACGGUCGCAAGAUUAAAACUCAAAGGAAUAGACGGGGACCCGCACAAGCGGUGGAGCAUGUGGUUUAAUUCGAAGAUACGCGAAGAACCUUACCAAGGCUUGACAUGUUAGGAAUCUUGUAGAAAUAUGAGAGUGCUGGCUUGCCAGAACCUAAACACAGGUGCUGCAUGGCCGUCGUCAGCUCGUGCCG